AAACUCUUGAAAUUAGUUUACCUCAUCCAUGCACUUUAAUUGAAGAACUGCACUUUUUUUACUUCGUCUCCUCGCCCGUUGAAAUAAAGAUCUGCAGCGUUGUUUGAUGUACAGAUUGCGGAACCCGAGCGUGUGUGUUGGGAGGGGGGCCUCCAGAAAUGACAAGCCGUCAUUUGAAACCAGACCUGGAACAAAUUGUUUCCUGGAACAUACUUCUCUGUUGAUCAAUGAUAUGUAAAAUACAUGUAUCUAUAUAAAUAUAAAGUCACAUUCAAGUUUUGAUGCUAUGUUUGCUGCCAGAUACUGUGCUUAAAAAACAACACCAUUACUUUCCUUCUCCCUGUGACCUGUAGGAUUACAACCAUAGUGUUUUAUUUGUGGGUGAAACCACCGUUGUGUAUCUUUCACUGGAAUGAAGAACCUGCCCUAGGAUAUUCUUUGCAGACUUGAUGCAUCACUAACACCUUGCAGAAACCUCAGUGAGAAUAUCGUGUGGCUAAUCAGUGCCUGCCAAUUAGUGAUCUACCUGUUUAUGGGCUUGAGACAUGAAGUGACCCACCUUGUGGAUUACUGGGCAAAACUGGACUUCUGGGGAGGUUCUUGGCUGUUGUGCCGUGCUGAAGCCUACCGUUGAAAGACUUCUGUGACCAUCUUGCCAGUAGUCAUCUGUGACAAUYGUGGCUGUGGAGCUUUCAGACUUCUUUUCUCUUUCAAGAAACUUUGUCCGUUUGUCUCAUGGAAGGGAAAUGGAUUUUGCUUUCACAGCCUCGUAGCCCGUCCUGUUGAUCACAUUGACCGUGGAGGAACACAGACUAGACGUGAAGCUUUCUGGACCCACAGUUGCGUCUUCCACAGCACUGAUUCUGGAAAACACGUGCUGAGCAGCCCUCGGUCCCUGAAGAGAGUGUGACUUCUACUUUCUCUUUUUUUUUCUGGGCCACCCACUCCGUUGUUUUUCUCCACUGAGUGAUAACUAACUCAUUAAGACUCAGAACCCAGUUGUCACUUGAGGAACGUACUGUAUGAAAGCCCUACAGACUUCUGGAUUUUGUUUUUUCUCCUUUUCYGCUUUCUCUGCUUACCUUUGGUUUUAUUUAUAUAUUUUGUUGUUGUC
Molecule: long non-coding RNA, 1114 nt
Filed under: Zosterops lateralis melanops
Lineage: Eukaryota; Metazoa; Chordata; Aves; Passeriformes; Zosteropidae
Description: lncRNA (ENSZLMG00000005058.1)
Source: RNAcentral